CCACCUUUGACAUGUACGGAAUUUGCCAGAGAUGGCUUAGUGCUCGAAAGAGAACCGUAACACAGGUGCUGCAUGGCUGUCGUCAGCUCGUGUCGUGAGAUGUUGGGUUAAGUCCCGCAACGAGCGCAACCCUUGUCAUUAGUUGCUACAUUUAGUUGGGCACUCUAAUGAGACUGCCGGUGACAAACCGGAGGAAGGUGGGGAUGACGUCAAGUCCUCAUGGCCCUUAUAGGUGGGGCUACACACGUCAUACAAUGGCUGGUACAGAGGGUUGCCAACCCGCGAGGGGGAGCUAAUCCCACAAAACCAGUCGUAGUCCGGAUCGCAGUCUGCAACUCGACUGCGUGAAGUCGGAAUCGCUAGUAAUCGCGGAUCAGAAUGUCGCGGUGAAUACGUUCCC
This 400-nucleotide ribosomal RNA is filed under the name uncultured bacterium. Its description in RNAcentral is "bacterial SSU rRNA". It matches the Rfam family "Bacterial small subunit ribosomal RNA", at positions 975 to 1375 of the family's 1533-position model. The record is from RNAcentral.